CGCGGUACCCUGACCGUGCAAAGGUAGCAUAAUCAUUUGUUCUUUAAAUAAGGACUUGUAUCAACGGCAUCACGAGGGUUAUACUGUCUCCCCCCCCCAAUCAGUGAAACUGACCUCCCCGUGAAGAGGCGGGGAUUAGUCUACAAGACGAGAAGACCCCAUGGAGCUUUAAACCCAAUGAUAACCUUCUCUCUAAGUACCCCUUAAAGAUAUAGAGGGCCUAUAAAUUGGUUUUAGGUUGGGGUGACCGUGGAGUAAAACAAAACCUCCUUGACGAAUAGGAACCAUCCUAAUCUAAGAGCUACUGCUCUAAGAAUCAAGAACUUGACGURAAAUGACCCGGCAACCGAUCAACGAACCAAG
RNAcentral lists this ribosomal RNA (363 nucleotides) under Limnonectes ibanorum (rough-backed river frog). RNAcentral describes it as "partial large subunit ribosomal RNA". The record is from RNAcentral. Lineage: Eukaryota; Metazoa; Chordata; Amphibia; Anura; Dicroglossidae.